CCUACGGGCGGCUGCAGUGGGGGAUAUUGCACAAUGGGGGGAACCCUGAUGCAGCGACGCCGCGUGGGUGAAGAAGCGCCUCGGCGCGUAAAGCCCUGUCAGCAGGGAAGAAAAUGACGGUACCUGAAGAAGAAGCCCCGGCUAACUACGUGCCAGCAGCCGCGGGAAUACGUAGGGGGCAAGCGUUAUCCGGAUUUACUGGGUGUAAAGGGGGCGCAGACGGCGAUGCAAGCCAGGAGUGAAAGCCCGGGGCCCAACCCCGGGACUGCUCUUGGAACUGCGUGGCUGGAGUGCAGGAGGGGCAGGCGGAAUUCCUGGUGUAGCGGUGAAAUGCGUAGAUAUCAGGAGGAACACCGGUGGCGAAGGCGGCCUGCUGGACUGCAACUGACGUUGAGGCCCGAAAGCGUGGGGAGCAAACAGGAUUAGAUACCCGAGUAGUC
RNAcentral lists this ribosomal RNA (440 nucleotides) under uncultured bacterium. Its description in RNAcentral is "partial 16S ribosomal RNA". It matches the Rfam family "Bacterial small subunit ribosomal RNA", at positions 338 to 795 of the family's 1533-position model. The record is from RNAcentral.